GGAAGCAUUAUGUCACUGGGGGUGUGGCCUCAAAGGGGUAGUGGGAUGUCUAUCUCUUCUUUUUCCCUUCACUUUCUGGCUGCCAUGAGAUGAGAAGUUCAGCUCUACACACUCUUUGCCAUGAUUUGUUUCCUCACCAUAAGCCCAAAACUAAUGGGGCCAAUCUAUUAUGAAUUAAAACCUAAAUAAACCUUUCCUUUUUAUGAGUUGAUUACAUCAGGUAUUUUGCUACAGUAAUGGAAAGUUGACCAAGAUCACUGAGGGGAAACAACCUUGGUAUUCAUCUACCAACUGUAUUAGUCAAGGUUGAGAGAUCUUGGAGAUGAGUGAGUAAAUGUUCUAAUGUGUUCAGCUUGCAGCAAAAAAAUAACAAAAUUUGUUCCAUAGCAAGAAAAGACCUCAGGCAUAGGAAUUCAGGCACUGACAGGUGGUAAGCAUAGGGGGCAGGGCACCAAUCCAAUAUCAAAGCAAAGAACUGGCUUUCUAUGAGCCAAAGAGUAAAAGGGAAGCAGCAGAAAGCACAGCUUUGGAAUCAGACAGACAUGGCAAGUUAUGCUUGCUUUGUGGUUUAUUGGUUCUGAUUGGCUAGAACCCGCUUGCUUACCCUUCUAUAUUCGGCAUAGAUCAACUUGCAUGUGAGCCAGGAGGACUGAAAAACUCACAUCGCAGGAGGGAUUAGAAGACUCCAGGAAGCAAUGCCUGUCAGAUCUCAACACUGUACUUACCCAGCAGGCAGUUGCUGCUCCAGAUAGACUAGUUCACCUGCCUCCCGAAAACUCCCCUAAAACCCAAUAUUGAGAGGU
RNAcentral lists this long non-coding RNA (803 nucleotides) under Marmota monax (woodchuck). Lineage: Eukaryota; Metazoa; Chordata; Mammalia; Rodentia; Sciuridae. The record is from RNAcentral.